CUCGUAGGCGGUUCGGUAAGUCGGGUGUGAAAACUCUGGGCUCAACCCAGAGCCGCCACCCGAUACUGCUGUGACUCGAGUGCGGUAGGGGAGCGGGGAAUUCCUGGUGUAGCGGUGAAAUGCGCAGAUAUCAGGAGGAACACCAGUGGCGAAGGCGCCGCUCUGGGCCGUGACUGACGCUGAGGAGCGAAAGCGUGGGUAGCAAACA
RNAcentral lists this ribosomal RNA (208 nucleotides) under uncultured bacterium. RNAcentral describes it as "partial 16S ribosomal RNA". It matches the Rfam family "Bacterial small subunit ribosomal RNA", at positions 568 to 774 of the family's 1533-position model. The record is from RNAcentral.